UAGUAUCCGAUGAGAAGGAAAGUAGACAGAAAAUGGUUCAAGAGAGGCUUUGGUUGGUGUAAAAAGCUAGAAGUUGACUGUCGAAAAUGGCCUUAGAGGAUUUUUUGUCGAAAGGUAGGCAAAAACGAACAGUCUUUCGUUACCAAGACCACUGAUUUUAUUGUCAGGCUGAGAGAAAGAAUGUUUUUUCUGAAAAAAGGUGGUACCACGAGUAUAAUCGUCCUUUUA
Molecule: non-coding RNA, 228 nt
Filed under: Enterococcus faecium
Lineage: Bacteria; Bacillati; Bacillota; Bacilli; Lactobacillales; Enterococcaceae
Description: T-box sequence
Rfam family: T-box leader
About the family: Uncharged tRNA acts as the effector for transcription antitermination of genes in the T-box leader family. T-boxes are found upstream of many aminoacyl-tRNA synthetase genes and some amino acid biosynthetic genes usually in Gram-positive bacteria.
Source: RNAcentral